GACGAACCGCCCGAACGUUAUUCGGAAUCACUGGGCGUAAAGGGUGCGUAGGCGGCCGUGCAAGUCUGGCGUGAAAGCCCCGGGCUCAGCCCGGGAAGUGCGCUCGAAACUGCGCGGCUCGAGUGCCGGAGGGGAGAGUGGAAUUCCUGGUGUAGCGGUGAAAUGCGUAGAUAUCAGGAGGAAUACCGGUGGCGAAAGCGACUCUCUGGACGGCAACUGACGCUGAGGCACGAAAGCGUGGGGAGCAAACAGG
Molecule: ribosomal RNA, 253 nt
Filed under: uncultured bacterium
Lineage: Bacteria
Description: partial 16S ribosomal RNA
Rfam family: Bacterial small subunit ribosomal RNA
Source: RNAcentral